UCUGUUCUUGUGGUAGGUUCUCCGCCCACCCCCCUGAGGGACUGUGUAGUGUCUCUGAUAUGUCCUCCAUAGGAGGUCUAUAUUGAGCAGAUUCUUUUUGGUAUUGGGUGGUGGAACCGGAGCGUGCUCCAUCCACUCCAUGCAUUGACCUGGUAUUGCAGUGCUUCCAGGACCGGUGC
This 179-nucleotide small nuclear RNA is filed under the name Crocodylus porosus (Australian saltwater crocodile). RNAcentral describes it as "U2 spliceosomal RNA (ENSCPRG00005017368.1)". It matches the Rfam family "U2 spliceosomal RNA", at positions 39 to 185 of the family's 192-position model. Rfam says of the family: U2 is a small nuclear RNA (snRNA) component of the spliceosome (involved in pre-mRNA splicing). Complementary binding between U2 snRNA (in an area lying towards the 5' end but 3' to hairpin I) and the branchpoint sequence (BPS) of the intron results the bulging out of an unpaired adenosine, on the BPS, which initiates a nucleophilic attack at the intronic 5' splice site, thus starting the first of two transesterification reactions that mediate splicing. The record is from RNAcentral. Lineage: Eukaryota; Metazoa; Chordata; Crocodylia; Crocodylidae.